AGCUGCCGCUUGUUGUGCUGCAUCUGUGUAGUUCCUGCAUGAUUUGCCCUCCCAAAUCGUAGGUGCCAUUUGCCCAUAUUACUACUAACCACCGCUCCCAUCCCAUCUGAUUGUUUUGGCCUUGAUUCCGGUGCCUACCCGGAUUAGGGUUUCAAGCUCAAGCUCGGCGUCGACAUGUCAGUUGCUGCAAGUGGAGGCGGCAAGCUAGAGGCAGCAACUGCAUAACGUGCAAGAAAAUCGCUUAACUCUAGCUGGUUUUCUAGAGUCUGCAGUUCCUUGACACCCAGUCCGGAAAGAUCUUGUCCCAUCAACUGCCUGCAAGUAAACAGAGUUGCUUGUGUUUUGACUGAAUGCAUGAGGACAUUUCAGCAGCCUCUUGCAUGUCUGAUCAAUUUUUAAUAGGUGAAAGUUUUGCUGAAUUUAUGAUAUUUUUAUUAGUUGUUCCCUGUUAGGUUACUUGGUAUAGAUUAGGCUUCUGUAGGUAUGCAACUGUUAACUUUCUGUGGGGUUGGGAUUUGGAACUAUACCAAGAGCAAAUCAGAGUGUUCUGACAGUAACACUAAAUGGCUGAAGCUAUAUAUAUUUUUAAAAUCUAUAAGUGGCUUGCAAGAAAAAAUUAGUAACUUCUUACAUUCCUUUCAUUUCUGAAAACUGAAAACUGACAUCCACAUUAAUGGGGGAUUAUUCUAUACAGUAAGUGUGGAUUAAAUAUUUUAUGGAUUAUGAGUUUGUUCAUUGUCUAUGAAACUAAGUUUCACCUUUAUAGACAAGAUCACAAGUCUACCUGCUUGCAAAGGCAACAAUCUGCUGUGGUUAAAUAUUUCUACACAACGACUAGGCAAUUUUUUUGCGCUUUGAGUUUCUUUAUGCUACUGGAAAUUGAAUAUCAUGAAGGGUUUUACUCAAAAGAAUUAAGUGACUUUGGAAGUUAUGUUCUUGUGCUGACAAUGGUUGAUGUCUUGGCCAUCUUUUACGUGCUACAAAUCUUUGAUAAAUGCAUAUGGAAACUUUCAGGUUUCGGGCCAUACCGAUGAUUUUCUUGCAAGUUGUGCAGUUGUUGUCUCAAGCUUGCUGCCUCCCUUUGCCAGAACUAUUGAAUAUGAUAUGACUGUUAAGUAACGCCAUAUCCAGGUUUGCUAAAAGCAUUGAGAAAAAAAACGUGUUGCAUAGAAGCAUCGUUGUGCUAUCAAUGAGGUCACUAGAUUAUAUGCUGGUAUCAGAAUACUAGAUCACAUGAUAUCAGAGACAACUUAUUUGGUUAUAGAGUAAAUUCCAAGAGAGGACAAAGGGUUUGGAAGAGGAAAAACUAUUCAAAUGCAGAACAUUUGGUCUUGCUUACUUUUGAUAUUUCAUUUGAGUAAUGUUGUGUUGAGGACAAAGGGCUAGCUUGUGAGCUCUCAGAAAGAACAUAUAUCGGUACACCCCCAGCAUGAUGUGGUCUCACCGGCUCUGAACUAAAAUAUGAGCUAACCUGUCAGCAUUUGGAUUCCUAAUGAAAUACUCCCUCCGAUCCAUAAUAGGUGUCUUAGAUUUAGUACAAAGUUAGUACUCCCGCCGUCUCAUAUUAAAUGACGAAAUAUUACAUGCAUCUAGACGCUUUUUGGAUAUAGAUACAUCCAUAUUUGGGCAAAUUUGAGUCACUUAAUAUGGGACGGAGGGAGUACAACAUUGCACUAAACCUGAGACACUUACUAUGGAUCGGAGGGAGUAUGAGCUAGUCAUGGGACAGGUGAGGAUUCCGGUGAUAAUCUUGCUGGAAGAAGAUAUGCGUGGCACUAGUAGGUUGCAGUUAGUCUCAGUCUGAAGCAUAAUUGUCAGUGGGGUUAUAUAAAAAAUUUGAAUUACUCUGAGAAGGAUUUAUGCAUUGUAGAUCUUUCCGGAGGAUGAUGGGCACAGCCGCACAGGUACAUGCUUUCUUUGCUCCAUUUUUCCUGCUGAGGCCUUCUGAUUGUCUGAUCAUUUUUUUUUCUUCUGUUCUGAGGUUCAAGGAAGGUUAAGAAUCCGACAAGAGCUCUCAUUGGUGGUUUCCUGCAGCAACAUUCCCGUUAUUCUGUUUGCUAGUGAAUCCGACAAGAGCUCUGCAAGGGCUCUCAUUGGUGGUUUCCUGCAGCAAUAUUCCUGCUAUUCCGUUUGCUUGUUUCCUCUUGGGUUAGCAAUUAGAGCGUUUUACGACCUACAAUCAUCCUCUUAAUUCUGGUUGUAAGUUGUUUGGCUGUAGUGCAGUUUUUCGAUCUGAUCACACCCCUGCGUGAGUGCUCUGUUGGUUCUGUUUAAGCUUGUCUUUGCUGCUGGGACCUGCCAAAACUGAAUUCUGUUUGUUUGGGUUUGUUGCUAUAUGCAAUGGAACUGGAGGGGUUUUACUCUCUCCUGAGCAUAUAAAAA
Long non-coding RNA from Brachypodium distachyon (stiff brome), 2382 nucleotides. RefSeq lists it as uncharacterized. Lineage: Eukaryota; Viridiplantae; Streptophyta; Magnoliopsida; Poales; Poaceae. The record is from RefSeq and is a predicted model, not a curated record. The transcript has 3 exons.